ACAGGGGGUGCUUGCACCCCGCUGACGAGCGGCGGACGGGUGAGUAAUGCAUAGGAAUCUGCCCGAUAGUGGGGGAUAACCUGGGGAAACCCAGGCUAAUACCGCAUACGUCCUACGGGAGAAAGGGGGCUCCGGCUCCCGCUAUCGGAUGAGCCUAUGUCGGAUUAGCUGGUUGGUGAGGUAAAGGCUCACCAAGGCGACGAUCCGUAGCUGGUCUGAGAGGAUGAUCAGCCACAUCGGGACUGAGACACGGCCCGAACUCCUACGGGAGGCAGCAGUGGGGAAUAUUGGACAAUGGGGGCAACCCUGAUCCAGCCAUGCCGCGUGUGUGAAGAAGGCCCUCGGGUUGUAAAGCACUUUCAGUGAGGAAGAACGCCUGGUGGUUAAUACCCAUCAGGAAAGACAUCACUCACAGAAGAAGCACCGGCUAACUCCGUGCCAGCAGCCGCGGUAAUACGGAGGGUGCGAGCGUUAAUCGGAAUUACUGGGCGUAAAGCGCGCGUAGGUGGCUUGAUAAGCCGGUUGUGAAAGCCCCGGGCUCAACCUGGGAACGGCAUCCGGAACUGUCAAGCUAGAGUGCAGGAGAGGAAGGUAGAAUUCCCGGUGUAGCGGUGAAAUGCGUAGAGAUCGGGAGGAAUACCAGUGGCGAAGGCGGCCUUCUGGACUGACACUGACACUGAGGUGCGAAAGCGUGGGUAGCAAACAGGAUUAGAUACCCUGGUAGUCCACGCCGUAAACGAUGUCGACCAGCCGUUGGGUGCCUAGCGCACUUUGUGGCGAAGUUAACGCGAUAAGUCGACCGCCUGGGGAGUACGGCCGCAAGGUUAAAACUCAAAUGAAUUGACGGGGGCCCGCACAAGCGGUGGAGCAUGUGGUUUAAUUCGAUGCAACGCGAAGAACCUUACCUACUCUUGACAUCCUGCGAAUUUGGUAGAGAUACCUUAGUGCCUUCGGGAACGCAGAGACAGGUGCUGCAUGGCUGUCGUCAGCUCGUGUUGUGAAAUGUUGGGUUAAGUCCCGUAACGAGCGCAACC
RNAcentral lists this ribosomal RNA (1034 nucleotides) under Vreelandella hamiltonii. RNAcentral's name for it is "bacterial SSU rRNA". It matches the Rfam family "Bacterial small subunit ribosomal RNA", at positions 69 to 1103 of the family's 1533-position model. The record is from RNAcentral. Lineage: Bacteria; Pseudomonadati; Pseudomonadota; Gammaproteobacteria; Oceanospirillales; Halomonadaceae.